This 305-nucleotide ribosomal RNA is filed under the name uncultured bacterium. RNAcentral's name for it is "bacterial SSU rRNA". It matches the Rfam family "Bacterial small subunit ribosomal RNA", at positions 334 to 636 of the family's 1533-position model. The record is from RNAcentral.
GAAUCCUACGGGACGCAGCAGUGAGGAAUAUUGGUCAAUGGGCGGAAGCCUGAACCAGCCAAGUCGCGUGAGGGAAUAAGGCCCUACGGGUCGUAAACCUCUUUUGCCGGGGAGCAAGGGCGGGGACGUGUCCCGGCCCGGAGAGUACCCGGAGAAAAAGCAUCGGCUAACUCCGUGCCAGCAGCCGCGGUAAUACGGAGGAUGCGAGCGUUAUCCGGAUUUAUUGGGUUUAAAGGGUGCGUAGGCGGGCUGCCAGGUCAGCGGUAAAAUUGCGGGGCUCAACCCCGUCGAGCCGUUGAAACUGG